GGGAGAAGGCACGCUGAUAUGUAGGUGAAGCGACUUGCUCGUGGAGCUGAAAUCAGUCGAAGAUACCAGCUGGCUGCAACUGUUUAUUAAAAACACAGCACUGUGCAAACACGAAAGUGGACGUAUACGGUGUGACGCCUGCCCGGUGCCGGAAGGUUAAUUGAUGGGGUUAGCGGUAACGCGAAGCUCUUGAUCGAAGCCCCGGUAAACGGCGGCCGUAACUAUAACGGUCCUAAGGUAGCGAAAUUCCUUGUCGGGUAAGUUCCGACCUGCACGAAUGGCGUAAUGAUGGCCAGGCUGUCUCCACCCGAGACUCAGUGAAAUUGAACUCGCUGUGAAGAUGCAGUGUACCCGCGGCAAGACGGAAAGACCCCGUGAACCUUUACUAUAGCUUGACACUGAACAUUGAGCCUUGAUGUGUAGGAUAGGUGGGAGGCUUUGAAGUGUGGACGCCAGUCUGCAUGGAGCCGACCUUGAAAUACCACCCUUUAAUGUUUGAUGUUCUAACGUUGGCCCCUAAUCGGGGUUGCGGACAGUGUCUGGUGGGUAGUUUGACUGGGGCGGUCUCCUCCUAAAGAGUAACGGAGGAGCACGAAGGUUGGCUAAUCCUGGUCGGACAUCAGGAGGUUAGUGCAAUGGCAUAAGCCAGCUUGACUGCGAGCGUGACGGCGCGAGCAGGUGCGAAAGCAGGUCAUAGUGAUCCGGUGGUUCUGAAUGGAAGGGCCAUCGCUCAACGGAUAAAAGGUACUCCGGGGAUAACAGGCUGAUACCGCCCAAGAGUUCAUAUCGACGGCGGUGUUUGGCACCUCGAUGUCGGCUCAUCACAUCCUGGGGCUGAAGUAGGUCCCAAGGGUAUGGCUGUUCGCCAUUUAAAGUGGUACGCGAGCUGGGUUUAGAACGUCGUGAGACAGUUCGGUCCCUAUCUGCCGUGGGCGCUGGAGAACUGAGGGGGGCUGCUCCUAGUACGAGAGGACCGGAGUGGACGCAUCACUGGUGUUCGGGUUGUCAUGCCAAUGGCACUGCCCGGUAGCUAAAUGCGGAAGAGAUAAGUGCUGAAAGCAUCUAAGCACGAAACUUGCCCCGAGAUGAGUUCUCCCUGAGACUUAGAGUCUCCUGAAGGAACGUUGAAGACGACGACGUUGAUAGGCCGGGUGUGUAAGCGCAGCGAUGCGUUGAGCUAACCGGUACUAAUGAACCGUGAGGCUUAACCUUACAACGCCGAAG
RNAcentral lists this ribosomal RNA (1224 nucleotides) under Escherichia coli. RNAcentral describes it as "partial 23S ribosomal RNA". It matches the Rfam family "Bacterial large subunit ribosomal RNA", at positions 1738 to 2925 of the family's 2925-position model. The record is from RNAcentral. Lineage: Bacteria; Pseudomonadati; Pseudomonadota; Gammaproteobacteria; Enterobacterales; Enterobacteriaceae.